Molecule: small nuclear RNA, 105 nt
Filed under: Phascolarctos cinereus (koala)
Lineage: Eukaryota; Metazoa; Chordata; Mammalia; Diprotodontia; Phascolarctidae
Source: RNAcentral
AUGCUUGAUUCAUCAGCAAAUAUACUAAAAUUAGAAUGAUAGAGAAGAUUAAGAUGGUCCCUGAGCAAGGAUGACAUGCAAACUUGUGAAGCAUUACUUUUCUUU